RNAcentral lists this ribosomal RNA (476 nucleotides) under uncultured organism. RNAcentral's name for it is "partial 16S ribosomal RNA". It matches the Rfam family "Bacterial small subunit ribosomal RNA", at positions 333 to 800 of the family's 1533-position model. The record is from RNAcentral.
ACACUCCUGCGGGAGGCAGCAGUGGGGAAUUUUGGACAAUGGGCGAAAGCCUGAUCCAGCCAUGCCGCGUGCAGGAUGAAGGCCUUCGGGUUGUAAACUGCUUUUGUACGGAACGAAACGGCCUUUUCUAAUAAAGAGGGCUAAUGACGGUACCGUAAGAAUAAGCACCGGCUAACUACGUGCCAGCAGCCGCGGUAAUACGUAGGGUGCAAGCGUUAAUCGGAAUUACUGGGCGUAAAGCGUGCGCAGGCGGUUAUGUAAGACAGUUGUGAAAUCCCCGGGCUCAACCUGGGAACUGCAUCUGUGACUGCAUAGCUAGAGUACGGUAGAGGGGGAUGGAAUUCCGCGUGUAGCAGUGAAAUGCGUAGAUAUGCGGAGGAACACCGAUGGCGAAGGCAAUCCCCUGGACCUGUACUGACGCUCAUGCACGAAAGCGUGGGGAGCAAACAGGAUUAGAAACCCUGGUAGUCCCAUGA